GAGGAUGAUGAUUUCAAAUUUGUCGCCCCAGUCUUAGGGUCCGCUUAGGUUGGUCUGUGCUGAUUGACAUACUACUUAAUCUGACCU
Triticum urartu is the source of this 87-nucleotide non-coding RNA. NCBI's taxonomy places the organism in Eukaryota, Viridiplantae, Streptophyta, Magnoliopsida, Poales, Poaceae. The record is from Rfam.